UCCUUUCUCCCACAGAGAUAGAACAGAAACCAAUAUUCAAAACGCAAACAUUCCCAGCCCUGUGCUUUUGUGCAGGCAUCUCGCUGUGUGCGCUGGGCACAGAGCAGCGCGCGCGCGCUCGCCUUUCCCUCGGCGGCCCCCCGCGGCUCGGACCCGGGACUGCAGACAGGCCAUCCAUCAUCCGCCCUCCUUCCGUGGAGAGUCGCUGCUGCGGCCAAUCGGCAGCAGGUGGGGCCGCACCUGCGGGACAGCUCGCACUUCCCUCCGAUGAUCUCUCCGCCGCGCCCGGCGUGCUAGCGAUGCCCUUGUGAGCCACUGCGUUCUCCAAGGCCAGAACGAGACAGAAGCUGGAACCACUUAACCCCAAACUACAGGACCAGCCCUGACAUGAUUGGAACUCAUCUUGACCUUGGUGCAGCCUCAUGAAGUUUCCACUGCAAUAACGACCACAUACAGAAGGGCCCAGGGAAUUGCUUCUUUGGGGAUUGGAGAUAAGACUCUGGGAAUUUAUAGAAACAAACAUCAGAAGACUGAAAUGUGGAGAGAAGAAGGCUGCCUGACUAGGGAAUCUCAGGAUACAACGAAAACAUCAAGAGCGUAGGCCCCACUCUGCCUGCUGGUCACAGGAACAGGAUAAGCCAACUUGCACCGUGAAGCUGAGUCACCUUGGCUGACUGAGCAAUAAUGCUGGAGGUGGGACCUGGUAGGAGGUGU
Molecule: long non-coding RNA, 714 nt
Organism: Saimiri boliviensis boliviensis (Bolivian squirrel monkey)
Lineage: Eukaryota; Metazoa; Chordata; Mammalia; Primates; Cebidae
Source: RefSeq, a predicted model, not a curated record